RNAcentral lists this ribosomal RNA (405 nucleotides) under uncultured bacterium. RNAcentral's name for it is "partial 16S ribosomal RNA". It matches the Rfam family "Bacterial small subunit ribosomal RNA", at positions 30 to 526 of the family's 1533-position model. The record is from RNAcentral.
AUUGAACGCUAGCGGGAUGCUUUACACAUGCAAGUCGAACGAGUGGCGGACGGGUGAGUAAUGUAUCGGAACCUGCCCAGUAGCGGGGGAUAACUACUCGAAACGGUGGCUAAUACCGCAUACCAUCGGAUGGGCCCAUAUCGGAUUAGCUAGUUGGUGGGGUAAAGGCUCACCAAGGCGACGAUCCGUAGCUGGUUUGAGAGGAUGACCAGCCACACUGGGACUGAGACACGGCCCAGACUCCUACGGGAGGCAGCAGUGGGGAAUUUUGGACAAUGGGGGCAACCCUGAUGCAGCCAUCCCGCGUGUAUGAGAAGGCCUUCGGGUUGUAAAGUACUUUUGGCAGAGAAGCGGUAUCUGCAGAAUAAGCACCGGCUAACUACGUGCCAGCAGCCGCGGUAAUUC